RNAcentral lists this ribosomal RNA (460 nucleotides) under uncultured bacterium. RNAcentral describes it as "SSU rRNA". It matches the Rfam family "Bacterial small subunit ribosomal RNA", at positions 26 to 518 of the family's 1533-position model. The record is from RNAcentral.
AGAAUCAACGCUGGCGGCGUACCUAACACAUGCAAGUCGCACGAGAAAGUGGAGCAAUCCACGAGUAAAGUGGCGCACGGGUGAGUAACACGUGAAUAAUCUACCUCCGAGUGGGGAAUAACUGAGAGAAAUCUUAGCUAAUACCGCAUAACACUUACGAGUCAAAGCAGCAAUGCGCUUGGAGAGGAGUUCGCGGCCGAUUAGUUAGUUGGCGGGGUAAUGGCCCACCAAGACGAUGAUCGGUAUCCGGCCUGAGAGGGCGCACGGACACACUGGAACUGAAACACGGUCCAGACUCCUACGGGAGGCAGCAGUGGGGGAAUUUUGCGCAAUGGGGGAAACCCUGACGCAGCAACGCCGCGUGGAGGAUGAAAUAUCUUGGUAUGUAAACUCCUUUCGAUGGGGAAGAUAAUGACGGUACCCAUAGAAGAAGCCCGGCUAACUUCGCGCCAGCAGCCGC